AUGCAUCAACAUCUACAAUACCAAAUAUAUAUAUACUAUGAAACUACAUUUCAUAAUGAAUCUAACCAGAAUUGUGCUGUGGUCAAUAUAAUCAAAGGUGAGGUGCUGAAAACUAAGCUGUGUGGCUUGCUGUCUGUUGUGUUUUGCAAAAAUAGACAUUGGCCAUGGCAAGUUAGAGAGUUGUCCAGCAAGACCUUUUUGGUCAGGUUUCCACCCUGGAAAGUGGAAGACCUAAUUGAAUUUCCAGCUUUUGAUCUUCCUAAAGAAGGGGUGAAUGUAAAUGUGUCUGAAUGGAAAGGGGCAUGUGAUCCAUUUGGGGAACUGGUUGAAGCCUGGGUCCUAAUUGAGGGCAUGCCACCCAAAUGGUGUACCUUCAAGGUGUUUUGCCAAAUUGCUUCAACGUUUGGUGUUCUUACUGAUGUGGACUGCAAUGACAUGUUCAGAACAUUUUUUGAGAAUGUGAGGGUUAAAAUUGCUUGUAGAGAUCCAGCCAAAAUCCCUUUUGAAAGGCUGAUAGAGAUGAAGAAAAAGUUGUUCUUUCUUGGAUUCACUGUGGAAGGAUAUGAGCAAACUGGUGGUCUGGAUUCUGUUGUUAGUGAUGAAGAAGAUGAUGAGGAGGAGAUUGAUGAAGAUAAUGAUAAUAUACAUGGGAGCAAGACUGAUGGUGGUCAAGAUGACCUCCCGUCCAAUGAUGAAAAUGCUAUUGAUGACUUGGAUAGAGCUAACUUGAGCUCAAAUGGAAAUGCUAAUGCUGGUAGACACAAAAAAGCUUCUGAUGCUGUUGAUCACCAUGCUAGUUGGUCAGACAUCGAACAUGAGAACUUCAUCAUGGAAUGUGCUGUGGUGGAGGCUAAAUCUAAAGGAAAAUUAAAACAGGAUGAUUCAACUAGAGGUGAAGUUGAGAUUGGAGCUUGUGCUUCAUCUGUAGUGAAAGGGAAAGGGGAGGCGAUGCUGACUUGGCCAGUUGAGUCCUAG
RNAcentral lists this ribosomal RNA (975 nucleotides) under Triticum aestivum (bread wheat). Its description in RNAcentral is "partial small subunit ribosomal RNA". The record is from RNAcentral. Lineage: Eukaryota; Viridiplantae; Streptophyta; Magnoliopsida; Poales; Poaceae.